Molecule: transfer RNA, 71 nt
Filed under: Marmota monax (woodchuck)
Lineage: Eukaryota; Metazoa; Chordata; Mammalia; Rodentia; Sciuridae
Description: tRNA.Gln
Rfam family: tRNA
About the family: Transfer RNA (tRNA) molecules are approximately 80 nucleotides in length. Their secondary structure includes four short double-helical elements and three loops (D, anti-codon, and T loops).
Source: RNAcentral
GGGGUUGUGGCUCAGUGGUAGAGUGCUUGCCUCUGGCGCAUGAAGCCCUGGGUUCCAUCCUCAGCACCACA